CGUUCGUCUGCGGACCACCGCCGACGGCGGCGGCGGCGACCGGACGACCGUGCCGUUAAUGAAACCUAAUUAUCGGACAUUAAUUAUUAUACGUGCCUCCUCCUUGCACACCGCUUACCGCCACCCCGUUUGUAGCGACCGGUGAUUUAUUGUACACGUCGACCGCUGCAAGACCGGCCGGAUACACGUGAAAGCUCAUCAACGUCUCCCGCGCCGCGCCUACAUGGUGGACGAGUCUAACUUUCGAGAAAAAAAUCAAUGAUUUACGCACCGUGCGUGCAACGGCCGUAUCGAUUUGAUAAUAAUAAAUCGGAGGAACAAAUCGCUGUUCCAUUAUUUUUAAAAGAUUCUUUUCAAAAUAUAUACUACAAUAUCAUUGUGCUAUUGUAUCGUCGUUUUCACAUAGAAAUGUAUAUGUCCAAAAAUAUAUAGCUCUGUUAUAUAAUCUUAUGAAGAAAAUGGUUUGAAAUAAAAACACUCAAAAGUUACAAAAUGACGUCAAUAUUUAAUGCAGGGCUUAAGCAUUCAAAUGUGCAUUUCCGGUGGCCGAGCUUUAGUGACCGAGAGGAGAGGCCAAAAUUGGUGGCGCCUGCUCGUAAUGGAUACCCGACGACGGCGAGCGGCUGUAAUUACUAUGUACGUGCAAGCUAUGAAAAAGGUCACAGACAGGAAACGCAUAUGUAUACAAUAAUACUUAUGUAAAUAAAAAAUGAAUUAUUCCUAAUUCGAGAAUAGCAUAUUACUGCUGUUCGCUUCGACAAAACGCCCCUGCAGAGACAAUGGACGGCAUAAUAAUAAUAUACACGUAUCAGAACGUCUAUGCGUAAUAAUAAGAAAAAACGGCACUCUCGUUAAGACGAAGUAUAUUAUAUGUAGUUACACGCAUGCUGUGUACACAGCAGUAUUGUCAAUACUUAUUAUAUUGCAUACGUGGCCGGAAUAAUGGACCAGUGAUGGUGAUAAUAGUAAACAGCGUACUAUCAUAAAAGUAUAGUGUCUUUCAUAUUUACAACAUUAUCUUGAUUAGUCUGAUUACGAAACGACUUUUGAAACUAUAAUAACAUUAUAUUAACGUAUACAUGAAAUUGUAACAAGACGCUUCGUAUCUACAUUACCACUCGACACUCGUCACUCUGCAUGGUAACAGAUUACACUGAUCAUCUCUCCCCGACUAACCAAUAUCGAUUCGUAGUCAAAGUGCAAUCAGUCCUCUAGUCCUCAUAAUAUAUUUUUAUGUGUCUACCUAUUAUUUUAUAAUAUUCGUACCUAUCGUCGAAACAGUUCCACAAUAUUGUAUAUGUGUUACCACGAUGAAAAUAUAAGCGAAACACAGUAUUUUUUCUAAAACGUACAUAAAUUAAUGGUUUUUGAAAAAUUAUAUUUCUACAAUUAUUUUUUUCUAUACAUCAUAUAAUAUGGAAUAGAGACGUAGACACAAACAAUUUCCGUCAUCAUUAUAGUAUGGUUCCUAACGAAUAUGCAUAUAAUUUACUGUCAGGAGGCAUAUUACAUUUUAACCAAUACGUUUUUUUUCUUAAUGUUAUUUAAUGUUUAUAAAUUAUGGCGAUGUAUAUAAUCAGAUCACUUCAGCAAGAUACUCAUAAACAUUAACAUGCAGUGUAUAAAUAUUCUGGUUUUAAUGUGUUGUAAUUUUUCAUUUAUUAUAAUAUUAUGUAUGCUAUCAACAA
Molecule: long non-coding RNA, 1688 nt
Organism: Rhopalosiphum padi (bird cherry-oat aphid)
Lineage: Eukaryota; Metazoa; Arthropoda; Insecta; Hemiptera; Aphididae
Exons: 3
Source: RefSeq, a predicted model, not a curated record